UGUCCUGACAACACCACGUGUACGGACUCUUCAGUUAAUAACAGGCACCUGUGUCAGUGUUCAGAAGAAGCCACACAAUCAUCUACAGGGCAAUGUCUGGGAAAACCAUCAAAAGUCCAUGUCACCACAGAGGGAGACAGUCCAACCCAAAAUAAGGCUACACGAAGUACAAGACCGACUUCUACGAUUCGAGCAGCGGAUGAAGCCAGCGCAUCAAAGG
Long non-coding RNA from Liolophura sinensis, 220 nucleotides. RefSeq lists it as uncharacterized. The transcript is spliced from 3 exons. The record is from RefSeq and is a predicted model, not a curated record. NCBI's taxonomy places the organism in Eukaryota, Metazoa, Mollusca, Polyplacophora, Chitonida, Chitonidae.